CCUACGGGUGGCAGCAGUGGGGAAUAUUGGACAAUGGGGGGAACCCUGAUCCAGCCAUGCCGCGUGUGUGAAGAAGGCCCUCGGGUUGUAAAGCACUUUCAGUGAGGAAGAACGCCUGGUGGUUAAUACCCAUCAGGAAAGACAUCACUCACAGAAGAAGCACCGGCUAACUCCGUGCCAGCAGCCGCGGUAAUACGGAGGGUGCGAGCGUUAAUCGGAAUUACUGGGCGUAAAGCGCGCGUAGGUGGCUUGAUAAGCCGGUUGUGAAAGCCCCGGGCUCAACCUGGGAACGGCAUCCGGAACUGUCAAGCUAGAGUGCAGGAGAGGAAGGAAGAAUUCCCGGUGUAGCGGUGAAAUGCGUAGAGAUCGGGAGGAAUACCAGUGGCGAAGGCGGCCUUCUGGACUGACACUGACACUGAGGUGCGAAAGCGUGGGUAGCAAACAGGAUUAGAUACCCGGGUAGUC
RNAcentral lists this ribosomal RNA (465 nucleotides) under Vreelandella stevensii. RNAcentral describes it as "partial 16S ribosomal RNA". It matches the Rfam family "Bacterial small subunit ribosomal RNA", at positions 338 to 795 of the family's 1533-position model. The record is from RNAcentral. Lineage: Bacteria; Pseudomonadati; Pseudomonadota; Gammaproteobacteria; Oceanospirillales; Halomonadaceae.